Molecule: long non-coding RNA, 384 nt
Filed under: Carica papaya (papaya)
Lineage: Eukaryota; Viridiplantae; Streptophyta; Magnoliopsida; Brassicales; Caricaceae
Description: long non-coding RNA (CPAP_LNC001423)
Source: RNAcentral
AUAAAAUGUACAAGUAUUUUGUGUCAUGCUUCGUGAAGUCAGUACAAACUUCCAUAUUUGAGAGUAGAUACAGAUUUCCAAUUGCCCAAGUGGAAUGACCAUAUCAGAUAUAAAUAUGGCAAUUUACUCAGACCCACUUCUAGCUGGCCAAACCAUGGUACAAUCUAUGACCACAACCGUACAAACCAUAGUGGUGUUAACAGAUAUCUAUAGUCACAACAUUAGUUAGCCAUGAAUUACCCCUACAGAUAGUGCGAUACCUCUCUAGUCAGAGGGAACGCCAUCAUUCACUGGGAGCAGUCCUCUUACGUCUGUCCAGACCAGAUAGGGGAGGGAGAAAUAGAUACCCCAAAGGGUAAGGGGAAUAGAUACCCAUCAGAGAUA